AGGAGCCGUGUGCGUAAAUAGCGCAAGCACGGUUCUGAGAGGGGCCGGUGACAAUAGAAGGGACAGAACGAAAUAGCAGCCACGUAUUAGCCGCGUGCGGCAAGGCGUCAACGAAAGACUCGCUAUGGAUGUGCUGUUUUAAUUAAAGAAACCGGUCUACUCGAC
Molecule: non-coding RNA, 165 nt
Organism: Desulfobulbaceae bacterium BRH_c16a
Lineage: Bacteria; Pseudomonadati; Thermodesulfobacteriota; Desulfobulbia; Desulfobulbales; Desulfobulbaceae
Source: Rfam